AUGCCCAGCCUAAUUCUUGAAAACUCUAUAAAAUGCAGAUCCCCAGGCCCUACACAUGGAAUCUGUUCUAUCUGUGAAACCAUCAUCAUAAUUAAGAUUAAGAGAAUUGGCCGGGCAUGCUGGGAUUACAGGCAUGCACAACCAUGCUUGGCUAAUUUUUUUUUUUUUUUUUUGUAUUUUUAGUAGAGACAGGGUUUUACCAUAUUGGCCAAGCUCGUCUCAAACUCCUGACCUUGUGAUCUGUCCACCUUGGCCUCCCAAAGUGCUGGGAUUAUAGGCGUGAGCCACCACACCCUGCCAAAAAUAUAUUUUUUAAAAAAUUACCUGGGCACAGUGGCAGAAGCCCGUAGUCCCAGCCACUUGGGAGCCUGGGGCAGGAGGAUUGCUUGAGCCUGGAAGGUUGACAGUCAGCUGUCAUUGCAUCACUGCACUCCAGGCUGGGAAACAGAGCGAGACUUUGUCUUAGAAAGGAGAAGAAAAAAAAAACAAAUAAAAUACCUACAUAGAGAAGUGGACAGAUCUGAGAUGUGACUGGUGAUUGAACUCUAAAAGGCUACAUGACUUCCACAGUGCACAAAUCGUCUUUCGUCACACUCGGUGGCUGGUAGACAGUGGAGGGUAGAUAGGUGACAGGGCUAAAGCAAAUGUGCCCGAAGAGAGCAGCAUGUGCUUAUUAUUUAGAAAUAUAAAAUGUGUAAGUGCUGGAAAGAAACCGCUCACAGAGCCAAAAGUGGUUGCUUCUAGGGAGGCGGCAUGGGGAGAUUGGGAGGCAGACAGGAAACCGCUGCGUGUUAUCUGCCUUUAGACAAAUUUAUUUUGCUUUCCCUGCACGUAUCCUACUUCAAUUCUAAGACACUGAAGUAUUCACACGUUAACGUCUUUAUUUAUUUUUGAGGUGGAGUCUCGGUCUGUUGCCCAGGUGCGAUCUCGGCUCACUGCAACCUCUGCCUCCUGGGUUCAAGCGAUUCUCCCUGCCUCAGCCUCCUGAGUAGCUGGGAUUACAGGCACCUGCCACACCCCCAGCUAAUUUUUGUAUUUUUAGUGGAGACGGGGUUUCACUAUAUAUUGGCCAGGCUGGUCUCAAACUCCUGACCUCAGGUGAUCCACCCGCCUUGGCCUCCCAAAGUACUGGGAUUAUAGGCGUGAGUCACCAUGCCCUGACCAUUUCAACAUCUUUAAAAUCAAGAUAAAUCUUUCUAUAAUUAAUGGUGUACCUGACCACUAUAAUUGGCAGUGUUUUCUCUGGACAGUUCAUGAGUCAUGGUGCAUCUUACUAUUGGCGAUGCCUUAGAUACACUGAUGUAUAUUAUUUUGAUAAAGUGGAAAUUGUUAUUAUUUAUUUAUUAUAACAGCUAAUUUUUGUAUUUUUAGUAGAGACGGGUUUCACCAUGUUGGCCAGGCUGGUCUCAAACUCCUGACCUCGUGAUCCACCCGCCUCAGCCUUCCAAAGUGCUGCGAUUACAGGGUGAGCCACUGUGCCCGGCUGGAAAUUAUUUUAAAGAAAAAAAAUGAAUUAAUUGGAAUAGCUGCUAUGUACUGAGCUCCUACUGUAAGUGUUCUAAGGACUGUAAAUGUUUACAUUUAGUAUUCGAUUAUUUGUUUAUUUAAUUUUUGCUUAUUUAAUUUUUUAAAAUUUCAUUUAAAAAUGAAAUAAAUUAAAAAAAAACAAAAUUUAAAAAAAAUUUUGUUUGCAGAGAUGAGGGCUUGCUAUGUUGCCCUGGCUGGUCUCGAACUCCUGGACUCAAGUGAUCCUCCCACCUCAGUCUCCUAAAGUGCUGGGAUUACAGUUGUGAGCCACCAUGUCUGGCUUUCACUUAGUAUUCUAAAUCACCUUGGAUUGUUAUUCAAAAGUUUGAGAUGAGGAAACGGUUAUCUUCCUUUAAGCCACCCAGCCAGUAACUGAUAGACAGUAGUCAAAAACAGGGGGCUGCCUGCCCCUGAGUCCACAGCGUCUGUUUUGACUAGAAUUUUGUUUUGUUUUAAUUGAGUCAGAGUCUCACUCUGUCUGGCCCAGGCUGGAGUAUAGUGGUGUGAUCUCCAUUCACUGCAGCAGCCUUGGGCUCCUGGGUUCAAGUGAUUCUCCUGUCUCAGCCUCCCUAGUAGCUGGGAUUACAGGCAUGCAUCACCACAUCCGGCUAAUUUUGUAUACUUAGUAGAGAUGGGUUUCACCAUGUUGGCCAGGCUGGUCUUGAACUCCUGACCUCGUGAUCCGCCUGCCUCAGCCUCCU
Molecule: long non-coding RNA, 2228 nt
Filed under: Callithrix jacchus (white-tufted-ear marmoset)
Lineage: Eukaryota; Metazoa; Chordata; Mammalia; Primates; Cebidae
Description: lncRNA (ENSCJAG00000077873.1)
Source: RNAcentral